AGAAACGCAGGAAAUUGAGGUACUGCUACGCUGCCUGAUCUUCCGUCUCCCCAAGGAUCUCCUCUCACAUGAUCUUGUGAUAGUUGUCGUGCAGGUAUUGAUUUCAGUUUCUACAUUUUAGAUAGGUCAGUGGGCUAAAUUUUCACCAUGGAGAUGACUAAGCAUGCUUUCUCUGUCUUGUCCACUAUUCUUCAGUACAAAAUAUUGCACCUGACAGGCAGAAUUGAGAGGACUUGAAUGGGCAAGGACCUCUGCUAUCGUCUAACACAACAGCAAGGAUUCGCGUACUCAGUAUUAUCCAUUGUUCCAGCCGUAUAUAACCGUGCAGGUUAGGUUAUAUCGAUGAAUAUUAUUGAAAAAAAAUCUUCAUACAUUACAACAAUGUGAUUUAUUUCUGGUCGCAUAACAUCUAUUUGUGGUCUGCACUCUGGAAUAUGCUUGCAACAAUCGAGUAGAAGGAAUACUUACUAAGUUGCCGGCAUUUCCAUCAACUGUGGUAUUUGAUCUUUACUACCACAAGUGUUUUUCAGUUGUAUUUUUUAAUUAUUUUUCUCUUUCUCCCAUUUACAAUGCGAAGAAGUUGCAGCUUUCUAUAGUCCACAAGUAAAUUGUUGAUUGAUUAUAUGUUACUCUUUGGUUUUAGAAAAAAUAAAGCAUAAUGAUAUAAAUACUUCUCAACAUUCGAGAUAUAGAAAUCUCAAUAGUAGAAUUGAUAGUGUGUCAUUUAGCCAUCUGUGCAUAACAAAUUAACUUGCAUUUUUUACUUCAAUGUUUAUGUGGAACAACUGGAUGUAUUUGGGACACCUCUUUGGUUACUCCAUACUUAUCCAGAUGACUGCAACAAGUAUUUGUUUCACAUUGCCUUUGGUUACUACAUACUUUAUCCGGAGAACUAUAGCAAGUGUUUUUUUGGCGGGACUAUAGCAAGCCUUUGUUUCAGGACAUUGCUUUGGCUACUACAUGUUUCUCCGGAGGACAAUAGCAAGUGUUCCUUUUGCCGGACUAUAGGAAGUCUUUGUUUCAUAGCAUCCCAUCGUUGCUUUCCUUCACUGUACAACAAGAAAGAAAGGUUUUUAUGAGGUCUUUGGCUCUUCCUACAUGAAAACUUUAAUGUAACAAUUUGGUCAGCAGGAGGGCAGCAUCCAACAAAAAGAUA
RNAcentral lists this long non-coding RNA (1156 nucleotides) under Triticum aestivum (bread wheat). RNAcentral describes it as "long non-coding RNA (TAES_LNC005822)". The record is from RNAcentral. Lineage: Eukaryota; Viridiplantae; Streptophyta; Magnoliopsida; Poales; Poaceae.